CUCCUACGGCAGGUAGCAGUGGGGAAUUUUGGACAAUGGGCGCAAGCCUGAUCCAGCCAUGCCGCGUGCGGGAAGAAGGCCUUCGGGUUGGAAACCGCUUUUGUCAGGGAAGAAACGCUCCGAAACAAUACCUCGGAGUAUUUUCUGUACCUGAAGAAUAAGCACCGGCUAACUACGUGCCAGCAGCCGCGGUAAUACCUAGGGUGCAAGCGUUAAUCGGAAUUACUGGGCGUAAAGCCUGCGCAGGCGGCUUUGCAAGACAGAUGUGAACUCCCCGGCCUUAACCCUGGGAACUGCAUUUUGUACUUGCCUGGCUUGGACUCCCGCAAAAUGCGGAAGGGAAUUUCCACGCUUCAGCAUAAAAUGCCUAAAUAUCCGGAGGAACACCCCAUG
Molecule: ribosomal RNA, 393 nt
Filed under: uncultured beta proteobacterium
Lineage: Bacteria; Pseudomonadati; Pseudomonadota; Betaproteobacteria
Description: bacterial SSU rRNA
Rfam family: Bacterial small subunit ribosomal RNA
Source: RNAcentral